AAUAUUAAAUAGCCGCGGUAUCUUGACCGUGCAAAGGUAGCAUAAUCAUUAGUUUUUUAAUUGAAAACUUGUAUGAAUGGUCUAACAAGGAAGAAACUGUCUCUGUUAUUAGAGUUGAAAUUAACUUUUAGGUGAAAAGGCUUAAAUUUUUCAAAGGGACGAUAAGACCCUAUAAAGCUUUAUAAGUUAAAAGAUUUUAUUACGUUUUUUAAUAGUAAUAGUUUUUUGAAGACUUAUUUGGUUGGGGCGACAUUAGUAUAAUAAGAAUAACUGCUUCUAGGAAAUACAAGUGUGUUUGUGUAUAGAUUCGGUAGUUGAUCCUUUAUAAAGAUUUAAAGAUCAAGUUACUUUAGGGAUAACAGCGUUAUUUUUUCUGAGAGUUCUUAUCAAAGGAAAAGUUUGCGACCUCGAUGUUGAAUUAAAAUGUCUAUAUAGUGCAGCAGCUAUAAAAGAAGGUCUGUUCGACCUUUAAUAUUUUACAUGAUUUGAGUUCAGACCGGCGGGAGCCAGGUCGGUUUCUAUCUUUUGAAGAAUAGUAACUCAUCCUAGUACGAAAGGAUUGGAUGGGUAAAAGUUUUUUAGGUGAUGGUAU
This 592-nucleotide ribosomal RNA is filed under the name Thalamita bouvieri. RNAcentral describes it as "partial 16S ribosomal RNA". It matches the Rfam family "Bacterial large subunit ribosomal RNA", at positions 1919 to 2724 of the family's 2925-position model. The record is from RNAcentral. Lineage: Eukaryota; Metazoa; Arthropoda; Malacostraca; Decapoda; Portunidae.